UUGUGGAGAAGGACGCCGAAGGUGGGGCUGAUGACUGGGGUGAAGUCGUAACAAGGUAGCCGUACCGGAAGGUGCGGCUGGAUCACCUCCUAACAGGGAGACAAUUAAUUGAUUGUGAUGUCUAAGUCAUUUAUUCUUAGGCCGCAAUCCUGUCACCUUAAGGUCGAUCGGUACCUCAGAUUUUUGAAUUAAUUUUAUAAUUAAUCCUUUAAUUUCAGUUCCUAAACUUGUCUAGGUCACACCCAACAAGGUUUCUCCUGGGCCAUUAGCUCAGGUGGUUAGAGCGCACCCCUGAUAAGGGUGAGGUCCCUGGUUCAAGUCCAGGAUGGCCCAUUCGUUGUUGGGGGUAUAGCUCAGUUGGUAGAGCGCCUGCUUUGCAAGCAGGAUGUCAGCGGUUCGAGUCCGCUUACCUCCACUGAAAUCCACCCUGGUAACUAAAUUCCGGAGAAAAUUUUUUAGAUGUGACUUAGAACUGUCUAUUGAAAAGAACCUAGCUUCUUAUCAUCUUUUUGUAGUUGAUAACAUGCUGGGCUCGCAUGGAUUUUUCCAUACGAAUUCAGUAGAACCUUGAAAACUGCAUAGAUUAGAAAGAAUAAAGCAUUUCAUGGAUGCAUAAUUCUUGUAUGAUUUUUUAGCUUAAAAAACUAACUGGUCAAAUAUAAGAAUUCAUGUUUAAUUCUUGAGUAAAAGCCGAGCACAAUUGAUUUUGUGAUUGUAUUAAGGUCAAGCUACAA
RNAcentral lists this unclassified non-coding RNA (734 nucleotides) under uncultured Prochlorococcus sp. RNAcentral describes it as "partial 16S-23S ribosomal RNA intergenic spacer; may also contain 16S ribosomal RNA and 23S ribosomal RNA". The stretch from base 343 to 415 matches the Rfam family "tRNA". The record is from RNAcentral. Lineage: Bacteria; Bacillati; Cyanobacteriota; Cyanophyceae; Synechococcales; Prochlorococcaceae.